This 753-nucleotide long non-coding RNA is filed under the name Homo sapiens (human). RNAcentral describes it as "non-protein coding lnc-MIA3-7:1". The record is from RNAcentral. Lineage: Eukaryota; Metazoa; Chordata; Mammalia; Primates; Hominidae.
GCACCACACACAGCAUCGCAUCCUCUGUUCGCUUCUUUGUCUCCCCUCCUCCUCAGUGAGAUCCUCGAGAGUGGUGCAGUGUCUUACUCUUUGUCUCCACAGAUAUUGGCAGAGUACCUGGCAUAUGAUUACACUCAAUUAUGAUGAACUGAACUGCUCAAGGAAAGAGUUGGUGGAACAACUUUAAGCCUAAGAAUGCACGGAUAUAUUAUGCAGUCUGGAGGAUAUCAAAUAAGUACUGUCUGUGCCUUCUUUUCCCCAAAGCAAACCAUUCCCAUAUCAAGAAUUCUGGGGUAAGGAUUUGCCCUCUUUUUAAGCUGGAGAGAGAGAAAAGAAAGAAAAUUGACCUUAGAAAUGGAAAGAAACAUACAAAGUCAACAGAGGUACUUUGAUCCACCAAGGAAGAAGUCUGAAAGGAGACCUGGAAAUAGGCAGGAAUCCAGAGAGUAUUGUUUUGGUAUUAGAAGUUCUCAAGAAGAGAAGCCAUGGGCCAUGAGCUCUUUUAAAAGUGGGAAGUUAGAAAACUAAGGCCUUGGUGGUAGGGUUACCAGAUUCAGCAAGUAAAAAUAUGAGAUGGCUAGAUAAACUUGAAUGUCAGAUAAAUUUUAAAAAAAUUUUUCUUUUGUCAGUAUGUUCCACAGGGUAUCUUGUGUUUUAUCCAGCAACCCUACCUGGGGGAGAACUUCUGGGAAUGUAUCCAGAAUAACUUAACACUGGGAGUUGACUACCAAUUCCAGGUUUCUCAUGGAAGAA